GACGAACGCUGGCGGCGUGCUUAACACAUGCAAGUCGAACGGAAAGGCCCUGCUUUUGUGGGGUGCUCGAGUGGCGAACGGGUGAGUAACACGUGAGUAACCUGCCCUUGACUUUGGGAUAACUUCAGGAAACUGGGGCUAAUACCGGAUAGGAGCUCCUGCUGCAUGGUGGGGGUUGGAAAGUUUCGGCGGUUGGGGAUGGACUCGCGGCUUAUCAGCUUGUUGGUGGGGUAGUGGCUUACCAAGGCUUUGACGGCUAGCCGGCCUGAGAGGGUGACCGGCCACAUUGGGACUGAGAGACGGCGCAGACUCCUACGGGAGGCAGCAGUGGGGAAUAUUGCACAAUGGGCGGAAGCCUGAUGCAGCGACGCCGCGUGCGGGAUGACGGCCUUCGGGUUGUAAACCGCUUUCGCCUGUGACGAAGCGUGAGUGACGGUAAUGGGUAAAGAAGCAACGGCUAACUACGUG
RNAcentral lists this ribosomal RNA (468 nucleotides) under uncultured bacterium. Its description in RNAcentral is "partial 16S ribosomal RNA". It matches the Rfam family "Bacterial small subunit ribosomal RNA", at positions 28 to 507 of the family's 1533-position model. The record is from RNAcentral.